UUCUGCUUCCUUAUUGUGUGUGUAGUGUUAUAGUGUUUGUUGUUCUCCUUAGCUUUUCUUCAUUUCUGCUACUUGUAGUUCUUUCAAAAAUUUGCGAAAAUUGUAAAAUUAACUUUGAUACGGAAAAAAAAAUCAUAAGACCAUUUCCUGCUAUUCUGUUGGUCGAAAAAAUAAUACAAAAGGUAAAAAAAACAUUUCCUGCGAUUUUUUUUCUUUUUUCCUCUCUCUCUCUCUCUCUCUCGAUUGCGAUUGAAUCGACGAAACCAUUGAUGAAUUUGGAAUCAGAAGCUUGAAGGUUGGCUCAAUCAUUUGAAUCAAUUGGAAUCAGAAAGUUAAGUUUCUUAGUACAAUUGUUUGAAUCGGAAAUUCUUUUAUGAUUAGGGUUCUUUGAUUUUGGAUAAAUGAAGGUUAUUUGAAGUUUGUUGGAAAAUUAGGGUUUUUGUUGUGCAUGUGUUCCAAAUUGAUCAUUUUAUUUGAUAUUGUUAGUGAAAUUGAUCAUUUCAAUGGAGUGGCAAGAAUGCUCGUAAAAUAAAAAUCUCUUUUUUAUUCUCUCUUUCUCUGUUUUGAAAUUUAGGGGAUUCACGAUCAAUUGAUUUUUAGUGUAAUCUAGGUCUCAUGUUAGGGACUAAGCAUAGUUAAGCGGUAAUUGAUUUGGUUUUGAUUUGUUUGUUGGUCUUGUGUUGUGUUCAGAGAGGAGAUAGUGAUUUGGGUGCAAAAGAAGACUGGUGAUUGCUGAGUAUCUCCAAAAGGUGGACCCAGAAUCAGAUGGUGCAAAGAGAGAUUGGGUUGCAAUCUAUGAUGAAUGUGCCAGUGUAUUGUACGAUGAAAUUGAUUACACAAAAGAAGCAGCUAAUUCGGAAUUGUUUGCUAAUAACUUCAAAGACUUGGAGUAUGUAAAAGUUCCAUCCAUCUACUGGGAAUAAACAACUCCUCAGGCUUCUUCUGGAUAUGAUGAGUUUGUAAAAGCUGCGUCAUUAGACAAUGAAAUCCAGUUUGUAGAAACAACUAGUAGUCAUGUCGCCAAGCUUCUCUUCCCUGACCUUAAAACCAACAAUGUGUUUGUUGGAUUGGUUAAAACUGAGGCUGAGAGGUACACUGCAUACGAUGGACCUUGCCAAGCCGAGAAGAUAUUGGAUUUUCUGAACAGUAAUAAAUUCCCGUUGGUUACAAAACUGACUGAAUCCAACACCGUUCGUGGCUCAAAGCUCUCGUAUUCUUGGCUUGCUCGGAAUCUUCAGGCAAGAAUAAAUGAAAUGUUUGCAUUACACAAUGCUCUCAACUAUUUGUGUGUUAAACUGUUGGCUUUUUGUUUUUGUUGUUGCUUGUUGCAAUAUUUAUACCACUUCUAUUCUAAUA
Long non-coding RNA from Camelina sativa (false flax), 1356 nucleotides. RefSeq lists it as uncharacterized. The record is from RefSeq and is a predicted model, not a curated record. Lineage: Eukaryota; Viridiplantae; Streptophyta; Magnoliopsida; Brassicales; Brassicaceae.